UACAGAGGGUGCAAGCGUUAAUCGGAAUUAUUGGGCGUAAAGAGCUCGUAGGCGGUGUGUCGCGUCGGCCGUGAAAACCUGCAGCUUAACUGUGGGCGUGCGGUCGAUACGGGCAUCACUGGAGUUCGGCAGGGGAGACUGGAAUUCCUGGUGUAGCGGUGAAAUGCGCAGAUAUCAGGAGGAACACCGGUGGCGAAGGCGGGUCUCUGGGCCGAUACUGACGCUGAGGAGCGAAAGCGUGGGGAGCAAACAGG
This 254-nucleotide ribosomal RNA is filed under the name uncultured bacterium. RNAcentral's name for it is "partial 16S ribosomal RNA". It matches the Rfam family "Bacterial small subunit ribosomal RNA", at positions 524 to 776 of the family's 1533-position model. The record is from RNAcentral.